GACGAACGCUGGCGGCGUGCUUAACACAUGCAAGUCGAACGGAAAGGCCCUGCUUUUGUGGGGUGCUCGAGUGGCGAACGGGUGAGUAACACGUGAGUAACCUGCCCUUGACUUUGGGAUAACUUCAGGAAACUGGGGCUAAUACCGGAUAGGAGCUCCUGCUGCAUGGUGGGGGUUGGAAAGUUUCGGCGGUUGGGGAUGGACUCGCGGCUUAUCAGCUUGUUGGUGGGGUAGUGGCUUACCAAGGCUUUGACGGGUAGCCGGCCUGAGAGGGUGACCGGCCACAUUGGGACUGCGAUACGGCCCAGACUCCUACGGGAGGCAGCAGUGGGGAAUAUUGCACAAUGGGCGGAAGCCUGAUGCAGCAACGCCGCGUGCGGGAUGACGGCCUUCGGGUUGUAAACCGCUUUCGCCUGUGACGAAGCGUGAGUGACGGUAAUGGGUAAAGAAGCACCGGCUAACUACGUG
This 468-nucleotide ribosomal RNA is filed under the name uncultured bacterium. RNAcentral's name for it is "partial 16S ribosomal RNA". It matches the Rfam family "Bacterial small subunit ribosomal RNA", at positions 28 to 507 of the family's 1533-position model. The record is from RNAcentral.